Triticum aestivum (bread wheat) is the source of this 115-nucleotide non-coding RNA. NCBI's taxonomy places the organism in Eukaryota, Viridiplantae, Streptophyta, Magnoliopsida, Poales, Poaceae. The record is from Rfam.
CAAGUACUCCCUCCGUCCGGAAUUACUUGUCAUCAAAAUGGAUGUGUCUAGAACUAAAAUACAUCUAGAUACAUCCAUUUCAUUGAAAAGUAUUUUUGGACGGAGGGAGUACAAG